Molecule: ribosomal RNA, 247 nt
Filed under: uncultured bacterium
Lineage: Bacteria
Description: partial 16S ribosomal RNA
Rfam family: Bacterial small subunit ribosomal RNA
Source: RNAcentral
GAUCCUGGCUCAGGAUGAACGCUGGCGGCGUGCUUAACACAUGCAAGUCGAACGAAGCACUUGAGAUUGAUUCUUCGGAAGAUUUCUCUUGUGACUUAGUGGCGGACGGGUGAGUAACGCGUGGGUAACCUGCCUCACACAGGGGGAUAACAGUUGGAAACGACCGCUAAUACCGCAUAACCCGCUAGGGCCGCAUGGCCCGGACGGAAAAGAUUUAUCGGUGUGAGAUGGACCCGCGUUGGAUUAG